This 473-nucleotide ribosomal RNA is filed under the name uncultured organism. Its description in RNAcentral is "partial 16S ribosomal RNA". It matches the Rfam family "Bacterial small subunit ribosomal RNA", at positions 333 to 797 of the family's 1533-position model. The record is from RNAcentral.
ACACUCCUGCGGGAGGCAGCAGUGGGGAAUAUUGCACAAUGGGCGCAAGCCUGAUGCAGCCAUGCCGCGUGUAUGAAGAAGGCCUUCGGGUUGUAAAGUACUUUCAGCGGGGAGGAAGGCGAUAAGGUUAAUAACCUUGUCGAUUGACGUUACCCGCAGAAGAAGCACCGGCUAACUCCGUGCCAGCAGCCGCGGUAAUACGGAGGGUGCAAGCGUUAAUCGGAAUUACUGGGCGUAAAGCGCACGCAGGCGGUCUGUCAAGUCGGAUGUGAAAUCCCCGGGCUCAACCUGGGAACUGCAUUCGAAACUGGCAGGCUAGAGUCUUGUAGAGGGGGGUAGAAUUCCAGGUGUAGCGGUGAAAUGCGUAGAGAUCUGGAGGAAUACCGGUGGCGAAGGCGGCCCCCUGGACAAAGACUGACGCUCAGGUGCGAAAGCGUGGGGAGCAAACAGGAUUAGAAACCCGGGUAGUCCCA